GACGAACGCUGGCGGCGUGCUUAAUACAUGCAAGUCGAACGGAAAGGCCCUGCUUUUGUGGGGUGCUCGAGUGGCGAACGGGUGAGUAACACGUGAGUAACCUGCCCCUGACUUUGGGAUAACAUCUGGAAACUGGGGCUAAUACCGGAUAGGAGCUCCUGCUGCAUGGUGGGGGUUGGAAAGUUUCGGCGGUUGGGGAUGGACUAGCGGCUUAUCAGCUUGUUGGUGGGGUAGUGGAUUACAAAGGCUUUGACGGGUAGCCGGCCUGAGAGGGUGACCGGCCACAUUGGGACUGAGAUACGGCCCAGACUCCUACGGGAGGCAGCAGGGGGGAAUAUUGCGCAAUGGGCGGAAGCCUGAUGCAGCAACGCCGCGUGCGUGAUGACGGCCUUCGGGUUGUGAACCGCUUUCGCCUUUGCCGAAGCGUGCGUGACGGUAAUGAGUAAAGAAGCACCGGCUAACUACGUG
Molecule: ribosomal RNA, 468 nt
Filed under: uncultured bacterium
Lineage: Bacteria
Description: partial 16S ribosomal RNA
Rfam family: Bacterial small subunit ribosomal RNA
Source: RNAcentral